RNAcentral lists this ribosomal RNA (497 nucleotides) under uncultured bacterium. Its description in RNAcentral is "partial 16S ribosomal RNA". It matches the Rfam family "Bacterial small subunit ribosomal RNA", at positions 28 to 507 of the family's 1533-position model. The record is from RNAcentral.
GAUGAACGCUGGCGGCGUGCCUAAUACAUGCAAGUCGAGCGAACAGACGAGGAGCUUGCUCCUCUGACGUUAGCGGCGGACGGGUGAGUAACACGUGGAUAGCCUACCUAUAAGACUGUGAUAACUUCGGGAAACCGGAGCUAAUACCGGAUAAUAUAUUUAACCGCAUGGUUCAAUAGUGAAAGACGGUUUUGCUGUCACUUAUAGAUGGAUCCGCGCCGCAUUAGCUAGUUGGUAAGGUAACGGCUUACCAAGGCAACGAUGCGUAGCCGACCUGAGAGGGUGAUCGGCCACACUGGAACUGAGACACGGUCCAGACUCCUACGGGAGGCAGCAGUAGGGAAUCUUCCGCAAAGGGCGAAAGCCUGACGGAGCAAAGCCGAGUGAGUGAUGAAGGUCUUCGGAUCGUAAAACUCUGUUAUUAGGGAAGAACAAAUGUGUAAGUAACUAUGCACGUCUUGACGGUACCUAAUCAGAAAGCCACGGCUAACUACGUG